This 450-nucleotide ribosomal RNA is filed under the name uncultured bacterium. RNAcentral's name for it is "partial 16S ribosomal RNA". It matches the Rfam family "Bacterial small subunit ribosomal RNA", at positions 354 to 796 of the family's 1533-position model. The record is from RNAcentral.
GUGGGGAAUAUUGGACAAUGGGCGAAAGCCUGAUCCAGCCAUGCCGCGUGUGUGAAGAAGGUCUUCGGAUUGUAAAGCACUUUAAGUUGGGAGGAAGGGUAGUAACCUAAUACGUUGCUACUUUGACGUUACCGACAGAAUAAGCACCGGCUAACUUCGUGCCAGCAGCCGCGGUAAUACGAAGGGUGCAAGCGUUAAUCGGAAUUACUGGGCGUAAAGCGCGCGUAGGUGGUUCAGUAAGUUGGAAGUGAAAUCCCCGGGCUCAACCUGGGAACUGCUUUCAAAACUGCUGAGCUAGAGUACGGUAGAGGGUAGUGGAAUUUCCUGUGUAGCGGUGAAAUGCGUAGAUAUAGGAAGGAACACCAGUGGCGAAGGCGACUACCUGGACUGAUACUGACACUGAGGUGCGAAAGCGUGGGGAGCAAACAGGAUUAGAAACCCGAGUAGUCC